GCUAAGGUCCCCAAUGCCGUACUAAGUGGCGAAGGAUGUGGAAUUCGAAAACAACCAGGAUGUUGGCUCAGAAGCAGCCACCAUUAAAAGAGUGCGUAAUAGCUCACUGGUCGAGAGACUCUGCGCCGAAGAUGUCCGGGGCUAAAGUACGGAACCGAAGCUUUGGCAAUUGACAUUAGUCAAUUGGGUAGGGGAGCGUUCCUGCAUGGGAGAAGCCUGACCGGAAGGACAGGUGGACAGGCAGGAAGAGAGAAUGCCGGUAUGAGUAGCGAAAAGAAGGGUGAGAAUCCCUUCCACCGAAAGCCUAAGGGUUCCUGGGCAACGAUCGUCGUCCCAGGGUAAGUCGGGACCUAAUCCGAGGCGGAGACGCGUAGGAGAUGGACAACAGGUUGAAAUUCCUGUACUGGCUGAGGCCGUUUGAGCGAAGGAGUGACACAGGAAGGAAGGCGCGCGUGCGAUUGGAAGAGCACGUCCAAGCAGGUAGGUCGGGAGACAGGCAAAUCCGUUUCCCGUGAGGCCGAGAUGCGAUGGGGAGCUUCUGGAGACAGAAGCGAAGGGGCUGGCACUAAACUGUCGAGAAAAGCUUCUAGUGAGGACUCAGGCACCCGUACCGAAACCGACACAGGUAGGCAGGAUGAGAAUUCUAAGGUGCGCGGGAAAACCCUCGUUAAGGAACUCGGCAAAAUAUAUCCGUAACUUCGGGAAAAGGAUAACCCAGCGUACGUGAAGUGCAGAAGCGCACGGAGCGGAGAUGGGUGGCAGAAGAGAGGCCCAAGCGACUGUUUACCACAAACACAGGCGUCUGCUAAAGCGAAAGCUGAUGUAUAGAUGCUGACACCUGCCCGGUGCUGGAAGGUUAAGAGGAAGUGUUAGCGAAAGCGAAGCAGUGAAUUGAAGCCCCAGUAAACGGCGGCCGUAACUAUAACGGUCCUAAGGUAGCGAAAUUCCUUGUCGGGUAAGUUCCGACCCGCACGAAAGGUGUAACGAUUUGGGCACUGUCUCAACGAGGGACCCGGUGAAAUUGAAGUACCUGUGAAGAUGCAGGUUACCCGCGACUGGACAGAAAGACCCCAUGGAGCUUUACUGUAACCUGAGAUUGGAUUCCGGUAAGAGAUGUACAGGAUAGUUGGGAGGCUGAGAAGUGAGUACGCCAGUAUUCACGGAGCCAAUGGUGGGAUACCAACCUUGUUUUAUUGGAAUUCUAACGAGAAGCGUAACGAGCUUGCGGACAGUCUCAGGCGGGCAGUUUGACUGGGGCGGUCGCCUCCGAAAGAGUAACGGAGGCGCCCAAAGGUUCCCUCAGCGCGGACGGAAACCGCGCGAAGAGUGCAAAGGCAGAAGGGAGCUUGACUGCGAGACGGACAGGUCGAGCAGGGACGAAAGUCGGGCUUAGUGAUCCGGUGGUA
RNAcentral lists this ribosomal RNA (1406 nucleotides) under Megasphaera elsdenii. RNAcentral's name for it is "bacterial LSU rRNA". It matches the Rfam family "Bacterial large subunit ribosomal RNA", at positions 1038 to 2428 of the family's 2925-position model. Lineage: Bacteria; Bacillati; Bacillota; Negativicutes; Veillonellales; Veillonellaceae. The record is from RNAcentral.